This 263-nucleotide long non-coding RNA is filed under the name Vigna radiata. Its description in RNAcentral is "long non-coding RNA (VRAD_LNC016211)". The record is from RNAcentral. Lineage: Eukaryota; Viridiplantae; Streptophyta; Magnoliopsida; Fabales; Fabaceae.
GGAUCAAAGUUGGAUGAAUGUAAUUUGAAUCAGUGGUGUAUGAGAAUCGCAUUGAAGAUUUUCUACAAUUUUCUGAAUGACAUGGGGGUGCCUUGAAUUAAAAGUAUUAUUGUCUCUAUAUUACUUGUUUGAACGAGAGACAACAACAAAUUCAGUUAAUACGAGAGCAUAUUCUAUGUGAUGGUAUCUUAAAGAGUUAUACAAUGCGGAUCAGACAUGGUGAAGUUGUACACCUUCCAACUGUAUCUCAAAGUCAAGAGUCU